Molecule: ribosomal RNA, 253 nt
Filed under: uncultured bacterium
Lineage: Bacteria
Description: partial 16S ribosomal RNA
Rfam family: Bacterial small subunit ribosomal RNA
Source: RNAcentral
CACGUAGGGCGCAAGCGUUGUCCGGAAUUAUUGGGCGUAAAGAGCUCGUAGGUGGUUUGUUACGUCUGCUGUGAAAACCUAGGGCUUAACCCUGGGCUUGCAGUGGAUACGGGCAGACUAGAGGUAGGUAGGGGAGAAUGGAAUUCCUGGUGUAGCGGUGAAAUGCGCAGAUAUCAGGAGGAGCACCGGUGGCGAAGGCGGUUCUCUGGGCCAUUACUGACGCUGAGGAGCGAAAGCGUGGGGAGCGAACAGG